UGGGGAAUUUUGGACAAUGGGGGCAACCCUGAUCCAGCCAUGCCGCGUGUGUGAAGAAGGCCUUCGGGUUGUAAAGCACUUUCGGCCGGAACGAAAUCGCGCGGAUGAACAAUCCGCGUGGAUGACGGUACCGGAAGAAGAAGCACCGGCUAACUACGUGCCAGCAGCCGCGGUAAUACGUAGGGUGCGAGCGUUAAUCGGAAUUACUGGGCGUAAAGUGUGCGCAGGCGGCCGCGCAAGUCGAGUGUGAAAGCCCCGAGCUUAACUUGGGAACUGCGCUCGAAACUACGUGGCUGGAGUGUGGCAGAGGAAGGUGGAAUUCCACGUGUAGCGGUGAAAUGCGUAGAGAUGUGGAGGAACACCGAUGGCGAAGGCAGCCUUCUGGGCCAACACUGACGCUCAUGCACGAAAGCGUGGGGAGCAAACAGGAUUAGAUACCCUGGUAGUCCACGCCCUAAACGAUGACGACUAGUUGUUGGAGGAGUUAAAUCCUUUAGUAACGCAGCUAACGCGUGAAGUCGUCCGCCUGGGGAGUACGGUCGCAAGAUUAA
This 551-nucleotide ribosomal RNA is filed under the name uncultured beta proteobacterium. Its description in RNAcentral is "bacterial SSU rRNA". It matches the Rfam family "Bacterial small subunit ribosomal RNA", at positions 355 to 897 of the family's 1533-position model. The record is from RNAcentral. Lineage: Bacteria; Pseudomonadati; Pseudomonadota; Betaproteobacteria.